GGUUGCUGCCUCGUGGUUCGUAAUGUUAAUGAACUGUUGAAAUCACAUUAUUGUAUUAAAUAAAUAAAGUGUGUAAAAACUAGCUUGAUCUGAUGUAUUGUACUGUAACUGUAGUUGUUGUCCCAACUCUUAUAUCACCUUCGAAACACCCCCUGCCCUUUCAGGUCGUGUUAAGUCGAAUUUUUUUACUGUCUUGUGAUUUGUAGUGUUGUAGCGGUGAAUCCUAGAUUAGUGAACAUGGUUGUUCCUCCUUUCACUUUUUAGUACUACUUACCCCGGAUAAAACCAAAACGUUGUCAGGUAAGUUCAAGAUUCUUUGCCCCUUAAUAUGUUUGUCAUCUGUGUUUGGUAAUCUUGCACGAAUUCAUUAAAUUCUCAGAGCUGGAUUCUGUAAGAGAGGUGAAGCCCAACAAGUGCGUACCUUUCGGUUGCCGCCCCCAGUUUUAUGUCCGUGAGCGUUCUUUAUGCCGUGAAAUUUGAAUUGAUGUGUUACUGCCUCGUGGUUUGUAGUAUUGCUACAUAGCCCCCAUAAGUUUGUUCCUCAAGUCAUCAAACAUUGAGUUGAAUCAAAAGCUCCGUCUUAAGAAUAGUUUCCAUCAGCAGCCGUCAUGUUUUGAA
Molecule: long non-coding RNA, 618 nt
Filed under: Daucus carota (carrot)
Lineage: Eukaryota; Viridiplantae; Streptophyta; Magnoliopsida; Apiales; Apiaceae
Description: long non-coding RNA (DCAR_LNC005229)
Source: RNAcentral